GACGAACGCUGGCGGCGUGCUUAACACAUGCAAGUCGAACGGAAAGGCCCUGCUUUUGUGGGGUGCUCGAGUGGCGAACGGGUGAGUAACACGUGAGUAACCUGCCCUUGACUUUGGGAUAACUUCAGGAAACUGGGGCUAAUACCGGAUAGGAGCUCCUGCUGCAUGGUGGGGGUUGGAAAGUUUCGGCGGUUGGGGAUGGACUCGCGGCUUAUCAGCUUGUUGGUGGGGUAGUGGCUCACCAAGGCUUUGACGGGUAGCCGGCCUGAGAGGGUGGCCGGCCACAUUGGGGCUGAGAUACGGCCCAGACUCCUACGGGAGGCAGCAGUGGGGAAUAUUGCACAAUGGGCGGAAGCCUGAUGCAGCAACGCCGCGUGCGGGAUGACGGCCUUCGGGUUGUAAACCGCUUUCGCCUGUGACGAAGCGUGAGUGACGGUAAUGGGGAAAGAAGCACCGGCUAACUACGU
This 467-nucleotide ribosomal RNA is filed under the name uncultured bacterium. RNAcentral's name for it is "partial 16S ribosomal RNA". It matches the Rfam family "Bacterial small subunit ribosomal RNA", at positions 28 to 506 of the family's 1533-position model. The record is from RNAcentral.